GUAAACGAUGUCUACUUGGAGGUUGUGCCCUUGAGGCGUGGCUUCCGGAGCUAACGCGUUAAGUAGACCGCCUGGGGAGUACGGCCGCAAGGUUAAAACUCAAAUGAAUUGACGGGGGCCCGCACAAGCGGUGGAGCAUGUGGUUUAAUUCGAUGCAACGCGAAGAACCUUACCUGGUCUUGACAUCCACAGAAGAAUCCAGAGAUGGAUUUGUGCCUUCGGGAACUGUGAGACAGGUGCUGCAUGGCUGUCGUCAGCUCGUGUUGUGAAAUGUUGGGUUAAGUCCCGCAACGAGCGCAACCCUUAUCCUUUGUUGCCAGCGGUUAGGCCGGGAACUCAAAGGAGACUGCCAGUGAUAAACUGGAGGAAGGUGGGGAUGACGUCAAGUCAUCAUGGCCCUUACGACCAGGGCUACACACGUGCUACAAUGGCGCAUACAAAGAGAAGCGACCUCGCGAGAGCAAGCGGACCUCAUAAAGUGCGUCGUAGUCCGGAUUGGAGUCUGCAACUCGACUCCAUGAAGUCGGAAUCGCUAGUAAUCGUGGAUCAGAAUGCCACGGUGAAUACGUUCCCGGGCCUUGUACACACCGCCCGUCACACCAUGGGAGUGGGUUGCAAAAGAAGUAGGUAGCUUAACCUUCGGGAGGGCGCUUACCACUUUGUGAUUCAUGACUGGGGUGAAGUCGUAACAAGGUAACCGUAGGGGAACCUGCGGUUGGA
Molecule: ribosomal RNA, 720 nt
Filed under: Salmonella enterica
Lineage: Bacteria; Pseudomonadati; Pseudomonadota; Gammaproteobacteria; Enterobacterales; Enterobacteriaceae
Also listed under: 3 other names
Description: partial 16S ribosomal RNA
Rfam family: Bacterial small subunit ribosomal RNA
Source: RNAcentral